GGUUCGGUCCGAGGCAACGGAUCCGUUUCGAACCGGGUCAGGCCGGGAACGGAGCAGCCCUAAGGAAUGGGGUCCGUGUGUUCUCGGCCCGGGCCCAC
This 98-nucleotide signal recognition particle RNA is filed under the name Planctomycetota bacterium. RNAcentral's name for it is "signal recognition particle sRNA small type". It matches the Rfam family "Bacterial small signal recognition particle RNA". Rfam says of the family: The signal recognition particle (SRP) is a universally conserved ribonucleoprotein involved in the co-translational targeting of proteins to membranes. Archaeal SRP consists of a 7S RNA and homologues of the eukaryotic SRP19 and SRP54 proteins. Lineage: Bacteria; Pseudomonadati; Planctomycetota. The record is from RNAcentral.